AUAAAAACAUUCGAUUAUAAUUUUAUAUUUGUUUGUGUACACUUUGCACCAUCUUUUGUUUAGAUCUUAAUUUUAUAGCGCGACACACAAUAAUUCUGUUAUUUCCGAUUUUUUAUCGUGUCAAAAUUUAACUUAUCAAUUUAUUUUAUUUGAUUUUUAAACACACAAUUUGCACGGCUAAUUGGGAGCACAAGAUAACGCACGUAAUUCUGAAAAAGAAUCCCGCCAUGCACAAUCCAAAUUAAGCCGCCGAAAGGCAAACUUCAAAAAGGCGCGCUCCGCUUGAGAAACGCACUUCAAAGUCGUUUGGCUUUUACUUUAGCAAUGGGGAAACGCGUCGUUUACGCAACUUCCUGCCGCACUGCGACGCGUUCUAACGGCUACUGAAUGGCCGUUCGGCGUUUCGCACGCCGAACAGCCAAACAGCGACGACGAAGAUGACGACAAAGACAACAGGCGGCAAUAUUUGAAGCAACAAGCACUUGUCCAGGAGCGGCGCGCGGGCUGUCGCUGAUAUUAAAAAUUGUCCAGCAUUUGCUUAGAAGCUGUCAAGGUUUUUGUUUUUUGAAAUCAUAGCGUUUGUUUGACGACGUGUUAGACGCACAAUUAAAAUGUCUGCCUAAGCAAA
This is a non-coding RNA of Drosophila virilis, 628 nucleotides long. NCBI's taxonomy places the organism in Eukaryota, Metazoa, Arthropoda, Insecta, Diptera, Drosophilidae. The record is from RefSeq and is a predicted model, not a curated record.